AUUGAACGCUGGCGGCAUGCUUUACACAUGCAAGUCGAACGGCAGCGCGGGGCAACCUGGCGGCGAGUGGCGAACGGGUGAGUAAUAUAUCGGAACGUACCCAGAAGUGGGGGAUAACGUAGCGAAAGUUACGCUAAUACCGCAUACGAUCUACGGAUGAAAGUAGGGGACCGCAAGGCCUUAUGCUUUUGGAGCGGCCGAUAUCUGAUUAGCUAGUUGGUGAGGUAAAGGCUCACCAAGGCGACGAUCAGUAGCUGGUCUGAGAGGACGACCAGCCACACUGGAUCUGAGACACGGUCCAGACUCCUACGGGAGGCAGCAGUGGGGAAUUUUGGACAAUGGGCGCAAGCCUGAUCCAGCAAUGCCGCGUGAGUGAAGAAGGCCUUCGGGUUGUAAAGCUCUUUUGUCAGGGAAGAAACGGUAGAGGCUAAUAUCCUUUGCUAAUGACGGUACCUGAAGAAUAAGCACCGGCUAACUACGUG
Molecule: ribosomal RNA, 482 nt
Filed under: uncultured bacterium
Lineage: Bacteria
Description: partial 16S ribosomal RNA
Rfam family: Bacterial small subunit ribosomal RNA
Source: RNAcentral